This 272-nucleotide unclassified non-coding RNA is filed under the name Hevea brasiliensis (rubber tree). Lineage: Eukaryota; Viridiplantae; Streptophyta; Magnoliopsida; Malpighiales; Euphorbiaceae. The record is from RNAcentral.
AGUUUGUGCUGUUGUAUGAAUAACAGAAGAAUGCAGGAAUAGUUCACAACUUAUGACUGUUUAUUUCUAGUGAUGAUCACAUCUGAAGAGAGCAUGGCUUAUGAAUGCACCAAUGAAUUUCUUUCCUAAAAAUGAAAUCUAGAAGUGGAAAGAAACAGAUAUUAAUACCCACAUGAAGCCUGUACCUUCCACAUCUUAUUUGAGGAAUGAGGACUCAAUUCUAAUGUAAAAGUUUAAUGUCUUGGGUUUCAUUUAUUGAAAUUUGAAGUAUG